This 76-nucleotide transfer RNA is filed under the name Phytohabitans rumicis. RNAcentral describes it as "tRNA-Met". It matches the Rfam family "tRNA". Rfam says of the family: Transfer RNA (tRNA) molecules are approximately 80 nucleotides in length. Lineage: Bacteria; Bacillati; Actinomycetota; Actinomycetes; Micromonosporales; Micromonosporaceae. The record is from RNAcentral.
UGCGGGUAGGAGCACCGGUCGUGCUCAACGGCCUCAUAAGCCGAGUCAGGUGGGUUCGACUCCCACACCCGCCCCC